This 70-nucleotide transfer RNA is filed under the name Bos taurus (domestic cattle). It matches the Rfam family "tRNA". From Rfam's summary of the family: Transfer RNA (tRNA) molecules are approximately 80 nucleotides in length. Their secondary structure includes four short double-helical elements and three loops (D, anti-codon, and T loops). RNAcentral also lists the same sequence under 4 other names. Lineage: Eukaryota; Metazoa; Chordata; Mammalia; Artiodactyla; Bovidae. The record is from Rfam by way of RNAcentral.
CCCUGCUGACUGAGAGGUAAAGAAUCUGCCUGCCAUGCAGGAGAUUCAGGUUCAAUUCCUGGAUCAGGGA